This 381-nucleotide ribosomal RNA is filed under the name uncultured marine Chaetocerotaceae. RNAcentral's name for it is "SSU rRNA". It matches the Rfam family "Eukaryotic small subunit ribosomal RNA", at positions 587 to 972 of the family's 1831-position model. Lineage: Eukaryota; Bacillariophyta; Thalassiosirophyceae; Chaetocerotales; Chaetocerotaceae. The record is from RNAcentral.
AGCUCCAAUAGCGUAUAUUAAAGUUGCUGCAGUUAAAAAGCUCGUAGUUGCAUUUCCGAGGCAAGGGAUUAGUCCGACCUUUGGUGGGUAUUUAAUCCUCUUGCCUCGUCCUUGAGUGGUGCUUCUUGGUAUUAAGUUAUCGAGGAGAUAGCCGCUCAUCGUUUACUGUGAGAAAAUUAGAGUGUUCAAAGCAGGCUUAUGCCGUUGAAUAUAUUAGCAUGGAAUAAUAAGAUAGGACCUCGGUACUAUUUUGGUGGUUUGAGAACCAAGGUAAUGAUGAAUAGGGACAGUUGGGGGUAUGCGUAUUCAGUUGUCAGAGGUGAAAUUCUUAGAUUUACGGAAGACGAACUACUGCGAAAGCAUUUACCAAGGAUGUUUUCA